Molecule: ribosomal RNA, 261 nt
Filed under: uncultured prokaryote
Description: partial 16S ribosomal RNA
Rfam family: Bacterial small subunit ribosomal RNA
Source: RNAcentral
UACGGAGGAUGCAAGCGUUAUCCGGAUUUAUUGGGUUUAAAGGGUGCGCAGGUGGUUUAAUAAGUCAGUGGUGAAAGUCUGCCGCUUAACGGUAGGAUUGCCAUUGAUACUGUUGGACUUGAAUAUGGAUGAGGUAGGCGGAAUGUGUAGUGUAGCGGUGAAAUGCUUAGAUAUUACACAGAACACCGAUUGCGAAGGCAGCUUACUAAACUGUAACUGACGCUGAGGCACGAAAGCGUGGGUAUCAAACAGGAUUAGAUA